AUUGAACGCUGGCGGCAUGCCUUACACAUGCAAGUCGAGCGGCAGCGCGGGGGCAACCCUGGCGGCGAGCGGCGAACGGGUGAGUAAUGCAUCGGAACGUACCCUGGAGUGGGGGAUAACGCCGCGAAAGCGGCGCUAAUACCGCAUAUGCUCUGAGGAGGAAAGUGGGGGACCCGCAAGGGCCUCAUGCUCUGGGAGCGGCCGAUGUCCGAUUAGCUAGUUGGUGAGGUAAAGGCUUACCAAGGCGACGAUCGGUAGCUGGUCUGAGAGGAUGAUCAGCCACACUGGGACUGAGACACGGCCCAGACUCCUACGGGAGGCAGCAGUGGGGAAUUUUGGACAAUGGGGGCAACCCUGAUCCAGCCAUGCCGCGUGAGUGAAGAAGG
This 386-nucleotide ribosomal RNA is filed under the name uncultured bacterium. RNAcentral's name for it is "bacterial SSU rRNA". It matches the Rfam family "Bacterial small subunit ribosomal RNA", at positions 29 to 414 of the family's 1533-position model. The record is from RNAcentral.